This 245-nucleotide unclassified non-coding RNA is filed under the name Hevea brasiliensis (rubber tree). Lineage: Eukaryota; Viridiplantae; Streptophyta; Magnoliopsida; Malpighiales; Euphorbiaceae. The record is from RNAcentral.
GCGCGCGCAUGACGAAUGCCGACAGAGGGAUUGCCGGUGGCCUCGACGAUCACCUCGACAUUGCCGCCGGUCGCAGCGGCCCCAUCCUUGGUGAAAGUGGUGGCGGGGAUCUGCGCACAGCCCACCGUGCGGCAGGCAUCGCGCGCACGCUCGGGGUCGAGAUCAACAAUCACCGGCACUUCAAGGCCCGGCGUGUGCGGUACCUGAGAGAGGAACAUCGAGCCGAAUUUCCCGGCGCCGAUCAG